RNAcentral lists this small nucleolar RNA (270 nucleotides) under Colius striatus (speckled mousebird). The record is from RNAcentral. Lineage: Eukaryota; Metazoa; Chordata; Aves; Coliiformes; Coliidae.
CCUCUGUAGUCGAAGAGUUGCCCUUGGUUAUUAGUACUGUGGGCAUGCCAGGCUUGCAGAGAGAGCAGCUGUGGGAGGAAGCUGAGGCGUGCCUGUAAGAGUCAGCAGCAACAUGCACAAUAUUCCUCUAACAGUUAUCGUCUGUUGCCAUGGAGAUAAUGACUUAUCCUAUGUCAUGAUUAAUCUAUCAGCAGUAAGAGCAAUUUUGCAGUCUGAUAUUGUUUAGCAAGUACAGUAACACCUGCUGAGCACUGAAAAACGGCUGUAAAU